GAGUGACGCAGGAUCAUUG
This 19-nucleotide ribosomal RNA is filed under the name Musa ornata. Its description in RNAcentral is "partial 18S ribosomal RNA". The record is from RNAcentral. Lineage: Eukaryota; Viridiplantae; Streptophyta; Magnoliopsida; Zingiberales; Musaceae.